RNAcentral lists this transfer RNA (78 nucleotides) under Sphingomonadales bacterium. RNAcentral's name for it is "tRNA-Val". It matches the Rfam family "tRNA". From Rfam's summary of the family: Transfer RNA (tRNA) molecules are approximately 80 nucleotides in length. Their secondary structure includes four short double-helical elements and three loops (D, anti-codon, and T loops). Lineage: Bacteria; Pseudomonadati; Pseudomonadota; Alphaproteobacteria; Sphingomonadales. RNAcentral also lists the same sequence under 2 other names. The record is from RNAcentral.
GGGGGUUUAGCUCAGCUGGUUCAGAGCAUCUGCCUUACAAGCAGAGGGUCGGCGGUUCGAACCCGUCAACCCCCACAA